CGCGUAGGCGGUUUCUUAAGUGAGAUGUGCAAUCCCCGGGCUUAACCUGGGAACUGCAUCUCAGACUGGGAGGCUAGAGUGCUGGAGAGGGUGGUGGAAUUCCACGUGUAGCGGUGAAAUGCGUAGAGAUGUGGAGGAACACCAGUAGCGAAGGCGGCCACCUGGACAGUAACUGACGCUGAGGCGCGAAAGUGUGGGUAGCAAACAGGAUUAGAUACCCUGGUAGCCCACGCUGUAAACGAUGAACACUUGGUGUGGUGGGAGUUGACCCCCGCCGUGCCGUAGCUAACGCGAUAAGUGUUCCGCCUGGGGAGUACGGUCGCAAGGCUGAA
This 332-nucleotide ribosomal RNA is filed under the name uncultured bacterium. RNAcentral describes it as "bacterial SSU rRNA". It matches the Rfam family "Bacterial small subunit ribosomal RNA", at positions 568 to 898 of the family's 1533-position model. The record is from RNAcentral.